This is a long non-coding RNA of Sapajus apella (tufted capuchin), 110 nucleotides long. RefSeq lists it as uncharacterized. Lineage: Eukaryota; Metazoa; Chordata; Mammalia; Primates; Cebidae. The record is from RefSeq and is a predicted model, not a curated record. The transcript has 3 exons.
AUGAAUGAUUCUAAGUUUCGUGACGCCUCCCAAGUCAUGUGUAACUGUGAGUCAAUUAAACCUUCUUCGUUUAUAAAUUACCCAGUCUCAGGUAUGCCUUUAUUAGGAGC